CAGUAGCCGCGGGAAUACGUAGGGUGCGAGCGUUAAUCGGAAUUACUGGGCGUAAAGCGUGCGCAGGCGGUUUUGUAAGACAGAGGUGAAAUCCCCGGGCUCAACCUGGGAACUGCCUUUGUGACUGCAAGGCUAGAGUACGGCAGAGGGGGAUGGAAUUCCGCGUGUAGCAGUGAAAUGCGUAGAUAUGCGGAGGAACACCGAUGGCGAAGGCAAUCCCCUGGGCCUGUACUGACGCUCAUGCACGAAAGCGUGGGGAGCAAACAGGAUUAGAUACCCGGGUAGUCCCUGUCUCUUAUAA
Molecule: ribosomal RNA, 301 nt
Filed under: uncultured bacterium
Lineage: Bacteria
Description: partial 16S ribosomal RNA
Rfam family: Bacterial small subunit ribosomal RNA
Source: RNAcentral